RNA transcript from Drosophila novamexicana, 1543 nucleotides. It is a transcript of the gene named protein phosphatase 1B, with no coding region annotated. The transcript is spliced from 7 exons. The record is from RefSeq and is a predicted model, not a curated record. NCBI's taxonomy places the organism in Eukaryota, Metazoa, Arthropoda, Insecta, Diptera, Drosophilidae.
AUAUAUCAUAUUCGUGGUUGUUUUUUUCUGAUCAAAACAUAUAUUUAUUUUGCGUUACAAAAAUAUUGCAUGCACAAGAUUCUAUCCUGAUUAACUGGCGGCCUACUAGUGAUUUUCGUUCGGUGACGCACAAAUCAAACAAAGAAAAUUUUCGUCAAGCUACAAAGAAAUACACACACAUACAUAUAUACAUAUACAAUAUCAAACAACAAACGUCAAAGGCGCGACUGGCCCGAAAGUAAUUCUAUAAAGUACACACACAUUAUGUUCAAUAGAUAUGGGAGGAUUCCUGGAUAAGCCGAAAACAGCAAAGCAUAAUGAACAAGGCGAAGGCAAUAAGCUGCUCUUUGGCGUCAGCUCGAUGCAGGGCUGGCGCUGUGAGAUGGAGGACGCGUAUUAUGCUCAAGCCCGUCUAGGCAAUGCAUUGGAGGAGUGGAGCUUUUUUGCGGUAUUUGAUGGCCAUGCGGGCUGCAAGGUAUCGGAGCACUGUGCCAAGCAUUUGCUAGACAGUAUCAUUACGACAGAGGAGUUCAAGAACGGCGACCAUGUGAAGGGUAUACGUACCGGUUUCCUGCGCAUUGACGAGGUGAUGCGACAACUGCCGGAGUUUACCCAAGAGGAAGAGAAGUGCGGCGGCACUACGGCUGUCUGUGCAUUCAUCAGCUCAACGCAGGUGUAUAUAGCCAAUUGCGGGGAUUCGCGUGCGGUGUUGUGUCGUCAGGGCGUUCCGGUGUUUGCCACCCAGGAUCACAAGCCUAUUUUGCCGGAGGAAAAGGAGCGUAUUCACAAUGCUGGCGGCAGUGUAAUGAUAAAACGUGUCAAUGGAACACUGGCCGUGUCGCGUGCUCUUGGCGACUAUGACUUUAAGAAUGUGAAGGAGAAAGGGCAGUGCGAGCAGUUGGUCUCACCGGAACCGGAAAUCUUUUGCCAAAGCCGCCAGGACACCGACGAGUUCUUAGUACUCGCCUGUGACGGCAUCUGGGAUGUCAUGAGCAACGAGGAUGUAUGCAGUUUCAUAUACUCGAGGCUGAAAGUGACCACAGACCUGGUGAAUAUUGCCAAUCAGGUGGUCGACACCUGUUUGCACAAGGGUAGUCGUGAUAACAUGAGCAUCAUAAUAAUUGCUUUCCCCGGAGCACCAAAGCCAACUGAAGAAGCGAAAGAGGCUGAGCGACGGUUGGAGAAACAAAUUGAGAAGAUCGCAAGAGAGGAGAUCGAGAGUAAUCAGAUCACAGAUUAUGUGGAGCUAUUAAAGUGUCUACAAGACAAAGGUGACAUUCUAGGUCUUCCACCCGGCGGCGGAUUGCAGUCCAAAUAUCACGUUAUCGAGCGCACAUUCAAGGAGGUUUUUCCAGAUAGUCCAUGUGAACUGUAUGCAUAUGAUGAGCUAUGAAUUUUUUAAUGCUAAAUAUUGUUCAUUUCUAAAUCAACAACAACAACCAAAACAACCAACCAACCAACAAGAGAACAAAUGAAACUAAAACCUUAAAAUCCGUAUGCUCUAACUAGUCCAACGCAUUAAAUUGCAAAACAAACAGUCAAC